UGGGUUCAGAACGUCGUGAGACAGUUCGGUCCAUAUCCGGUGCAGGCGUAAGAGCAUUGAGAGGAGCCUUCCUUAGUACGAGAGGACCGGGAAGGACGCACCGCUGGUGUACCAGUUAUCGUGCCAACGGUAAACGCUGGGUAGCCAAGUGCGGAGCGGAUAACCGCUGAAAGCAUCUAAGUGGGAAGCCCACCUCAAGAUGAGUGCUCUCACCACUAAAAGUGGGUAAGGUCACGGGAAGAACACCCGUUCUUAGGCGGUAGGUGGAAGUGCAGCAAUGUAUGUAGCCGAGCCGUGCUAACAGACCGAGGGCUUGACCUCAAA
Molecule: ribosomal RNA, 324 nt
Filed under: Nostoc sp. C3-bin3
Lineage: Bacteria; Bacillati; Cyanobacteriota; Cyanophyceae; Nostocales; Nostocaceae
Description: partial 23S ribosomal RNA
Rfam family: Bacterial large subunit ribosomal RNA
Source: RNAcentral